GAUGAAGAACGUAGCGAAAUGCGAUAAGUAGUGUGAAUUGCAGAAUUCAGUGAAUCAUCGAAUCUUUGAACGCACAUUGCGCCCCUUGGUAUUCCGAGGGGCAUGCCUGUUCGAGCGUCAUUAUAACCCCUCAAGCUCAGCUUGGUGUUGGGGCCUGCUGCACUGGCAGCCCUUAAAAUCAGUGGCGGCGCCAUCUGGCUCUAAGCGUAGUAAUUCUUCUCGCUAUGGAGUCCUGGUGGAUGCUUGCCAUCAACCCCCAAUUUUUCUAUGGUUGACCUCGGAUCAGGUAGGGAUACCCGCUGAACUUAAGCGUAUCAAUAAGCGGAGGA
Molecule: unclassified non-coding RNA, 329 nt
Filed under: soil metagenome
Description: partial contains 5.8S ribosomal RNA, internal transcribed spacer 2, and large subunit ribosomal RNA
Rfam family: 5.8S ribosomal RNA (bases 1-120)
Source: RNAcentral